UACAGAGGUCCCAAGCGUUGUUCGGAUUCACUGGGCGUAAAGGGUGCGUAGGUGGUGAGGUAAGUCGGAUGUGAAAUCUCCGAGCUCAACUCGGAAACUGCAUUGGAAACUACCCUGCUAGAGGGUCGGAGGGGGGACUGGAAUACUUGGUGUAGCAGUGAAAUGCGUAGAUAUCAAGUGGAACACCAGUGGCGAAGGCGAGUCCCUGGACGACUCCUGACACUGAGGCACGAAAGCUAGGGGAGCAAACAGG
RNAcentral lists this ribosomal RNA (253 nucleotides) under uncultured bacterium. RNAcentral's name for it is "partial 16S ribosomal RNA". It matches the Rfam family "Bacterial small subunit ribosomal RNA", at positions 524 to 776 of the family's 1533-position model. The record is from RNAcentral.